RNAcentral lists this unclassified non-coding RNA (336 nucleotides) under soil metagenome. Its description in RNAcentral is "partial contains 5.8S ribosomal RNA, internal transcribed spacer 2, and large subunit ribosomal RNA". The stretch from base 1 to 120 matches the Rfam family "5.8S ribosomal RNA", at positions 35 to 154 of the family's 154-position model. The record is from RNAcentral.
GAUGAAGAACGCAGUGAAAUGCGAUAAGUAAUGUGAAUUGCAGAAUUCAGUGAAUCAUCGAAUCUUUGAACGCACAUUGCGCCCGCCAGAAUACUGGCGGGCAUGCCUGUUCGAGCGUCAUUUCAACCAUCAAGCCCCCGGCUUGUGUUGGGGACCUGCGGCUGCCGCAGGCCCUGAAAAGCAGUGGCGGGCUCGCUGUCACACCGAGCGUAGUAGCAUACAUCUCGCUCUGGGCGUGCUGCGGGUUCCGGCCGUUAAACCACCUUCAUAACCCAAGGUUGACCUCGGAUCAGGUAGGAAGACCCGCUGAACUUAAGCAUAUCAAUAAGCGGAGGA